UCUCCGCGAGUGUGGUGGACGCACGGCGGUCUUCGAAGCCGCCAGGCCGGGUUCAACUCCCGGGCGGAGGA
RNAcentral lists this transfer RNA (71 nucleotides) under Isosphaeraceae bacterium. Its description in RNAcentral is "tRNA-Arg". The record is from RNAcentral. Lineage: Bacteria; Pseudomonadati; Planctomycetota; Planctomycetia; Isosphaerales; Isosphaeraceae.